GUAAUGCGAUAAGUAAUGUGAAUUGCAGAAUUCCGUGAAUCAUCGAAUCUUUGAACGCACCUUGCGCUCCUUGGUAUUCCUUGGAGCAUGCCUGUUUGAGUAUCAUGAAAUCUUCAAAGUAAAUCUUUUGUUAACUCAAUUGGUUUCUACUUUGGUAUUGGAGGUCUUUGCAGCUUCACACCUGCUCCUCUUUGUUCAUUAGCUGGAUCUCAGUGUUAUGCUUGGUUCCACUCGGCGUGAUAAGUUAUCUAUCGCUGAGGACACUGUAAAAGGUGGCCAAGGUAAAUGCAGAUGAACCGCUUCUAAUAGUCCAUUGACUUGGACAAUACUUUUAUGAUCUGAUCUCAAAUCAGGUAGGACUACCCGCUGAACUUAAGC
RNAcentral lists this unclassified non-coding RNA (378 nucleotides) under plant metagenome. RNAcentral's name for it is "partial contains 5.8S ribosomal RNA, internal transcribed spacer 2, and large subunit ribosomal RNA". The stretch from base 1 to 105 matches the Rfam family "5.8S ribosomal RNA", at positions 50 to 154 of the family's 154-position model. The record is from RNAcentral.